This 472-nucleotide ribosomal RNA is filed under the name Eurhadina flavicorona. Its description in RNAcentral is "partial 16S ribosomal RNA". The stretch from base 349 to 472 matches the Rfam family "Bacterial large subunit ribosomal RNA", at positions 2473 to 2597 of the family's 2925-position model. Lineage: Eukaryota; Metazoa; Arthropoda; Insecta; Hemiptera; Cicadellidae. The record is from RNAcentral.
AAAUUCUGCCCUAUGAGUAUUUAAAUGGCUGCAGUAUUCUAACUGUACAAAGGUAGCAUAAUAAUUAGUUUUUUAAUUGAGGACUGGAAUGAAAGAUUAAAUGAGAAAUUUAUUUUAUUAUUUUUAAUUUUUAAAUUUUAUUUUUAGGUAAAAAAUCUUAUUUAUUUUUUUGGGACGAAAAGACCCUAUAGAACUUUAUUUAAUUUAUUAUAAUUUUUAUAAAUACAAGACUUGUAUCUUUAUUUAAGUUUUGUUGGGGUGAUAAAUAAAAUAAUCUUUAUUUUAUAAGUUCAUUAAUUUAUGAUUAUUAUGAUUUAAAUUUUAAUUAUAAGAUUAAGUUACCUUAGGGAUAACAGCGUAAUUUUUAUGGGGAGUUCUUAUCUAUAUAAAAGUUUGCGACCUCGAUGUUGAAUUAAGAUAAAUUAAUGAGGGAGUAUUUAUUAAAUUAAGUCUGUUCGACUUUUAAAUUCUU